GAAACCUGGUUGAUCCUGCCAGUUGUCAUAUGCUUGUCUCAAAGAUUAAGCCAUGCAUGUCUAAGUAUAAGCAUUUAUACUGUGAAACUGCGAAUGGCUCAUUAAAUCAGUUAUAGUUUAUUUGAUAGUACCUUACUACUUGGAUAACCGUGGUAAUUCUAGAGCUAAUACAUGCGACAAACCGCGACUUUUGG
This 194-nucleotide ribosomal RNA is filed under the name uncultured eukaryote. RNAcentral describes it as "partial 18S ribosomal RNA". It matches the Rfam family "Eukaryotic small subunit ribosomal RNA", at positions 1 to 193 of the family's 1831-position model. The record is from RNAcentral.